RNAcentral lists this ribosomal RNA (511 nucleotides) under uncultured bacterium. RNAcentral's name for it is "bacterial SSU rRNA". It matches the Rfam family "Bacterial small subunit ribosomal RNA", at positions 28 to 584 of the family's 1533-position model. The record is from RNAcentral.
AACGAACGCUGGCGGCAUGCCUAACACAUGCAAGUCGAACGAGACCUUCGGGUCUAGUGGCGCACGGGUGCGUAACGCGUGGGAACCUGCCUUUAGGUUCGGAAUAACUCCCCGAAAGGGGUGCUAAUACCGAAUAAUGUCUUCGGACCAAAGAUUUAUCGCCUUUAGAUGGGCCCGCGUAAGAUUAGGUAGUUGGUGGGGUAAAGGCCUACCAAGCCGACGAUCUUUAGCUGGUCUGAGAGGAUGAUCAGCCACACUGGGACUGAGACACGGCCCAGACUCCUACGGGAGGCAGCAGUGGGGAAUAUUGGACAAUGGGCGAAAGCCUGAUCCAGCAAUGCCGCGUGAGUGAUGAAGGCCUUAGGGUUGUAAAGCUCUUUUACCAGGGAUGAUAAUGACAGUACCUGGAGAAUAAAGCUCCGGCUAACUCCGUGCCAGCAGCCGCGGUAAUACGGAGGGAGCUAGCGUUGUUCGGAAUUACUGGGCGUAAAGCGCACGUAGGCGGCGAUUC